CCAAUAGCGUAUAUUAAAGUUGUUGCAGUUAAAAAGCUCGUAGUUGAAUUUCGGGAUUGGCGCAUCGGUCGUGCCUUACGGGGUAUGAACUGGUGCAGUCAAUUUCUCACCUUCUGGAGAACCGCUAUGUCCUUAAUUGGGUGCCGCGGGGAACCAGGACCUUUACUUUGAAAAAAUUAGAGUGUUUAAAGCAGGCAUUUUUGCUUGAAUACAUUUGCAUUGAAUAAUAAAAUAGGACGGCAUGGUUCUAUUUUGGUGGUUUCUAGGACCACCGUAAUGAUUAAUAGUGAUAGUUGGGGGCAUUAGUAUUCAAUUGUCAGAGAUGAAAUUCUUGGAUUUAUUGACGACUAACUACGGCGAAAGCAGUUGCCAAGGAUGUUUUCAUUAAUCAAGAACGAAAGUUAGGUGAUCGAAGACGAUCAGAUACCGUCGUAGUCUUAACCAUAAACUAUGCCGACUAGGAAUCAGACGAUGUUAAUUUUUUAAUGACUCGUUUGGCACCUUACG
This 507-nucleotide unclassified non-coding RNA is filed under the name uncultured Entrophospora. RNAcentral describes it as "SSU rRNA". It matches the Rfam family "Eukaryotic small subunit ribosomal RNA", at positions 591 to 1092 of the family's 1831-position model. The record is from RNAcentral. Lineage: Eukaryota; Fungi; Glomeromycota; Glomeromycetes; Entrophosporales; Entrophosporaceae.